This 292-nucleotide ribosomal RNA is filed under the name uncultured bacterium. RNAcentral's name for it is "partial 16S ribosomal RNA". The record is from RNAcentral.
GGACUACUGGGGUAUCUAAUCCUGUUCGCUCCCCACGCUUUCGUACCUCAGUGUCAGGAGUAGCCCAGCAAGCUGCCUUCGCCAUUGGUGUUCUUCGUAAUAUCUACGCAUUUCACUGCUACACUACGAGUUCCACUUGCCUCUGCUGUCCUCUAGUCUGCCAGUAUGUGAUGCAUCGACAGGGUUGAGCCCCACGAUUUAACAUCACACUUAACAAACCACCUACGCACGCUUUACGCCCAGUGAUUCCGGAUAACGCUUGGACCCUACGUAUUACCGCGGCUGCUGGCAC